AGAGUUUGAUCCUGGCUCAGGUUGAACGCUGGCGGCGUGCUUAACACAUGCAAGUCGAACGAUCCUUCGGGAUAGUGGCGGACGGGUGAGUAACGCGUGGGAAUCUGCCCUCAGGAGGGGGAUAACGGCUGGAAACGGCCGCUAAUACCCCAUAUGCCGAGAGGUGAAAUGAAUUUCGCCUGAGGAUGAGCCCGCGUCUGAUUAGCUAGUUGGUGGGGUAAAGGCCUACCAAGGCGACGAUCAGUAGCUGGUCUGAGAGGAUGAUCAGCCACACUGGGACUGAGACACGGCCCAGACUCCUACGGGAGGCAGCAGUGGGGAAUUUUCCGCAAUGGGCGAAAGCCUGACGGAGCAACGCCGCGUGAGGGAUGAAGGCCUCUGGGCUGUAAACCUCUUUUCUCAAGGAAGAAGAACUGACGGUACUUGAGGAAUAAGCCACGGCUAAUUCCGUGCCAGCAGCCGCGGUAAUACGGGAGUGGCAAGCGUUAUCCGGAAUUAUUGGGCGUAAAGCGUCCGCAGGCGGCCUUGUAAGUCUGUUGUUAAAGCGUGGAGCUCAACUCCAUUUAAGCAAUGGAAACUACAAGGCUGGAGUGUGGUAGGGGCAGAGGGAAUUCCCGGUGUAGCGGUGAAAUGCGUAGAUAUCGGGAAGAACACCAGUGGCGAAGGCGCUCUGCUGGGCCAUAACUGACGCUCAUGGACGAAAGCCAGGGGAGCGAAAGGGAUUAGAUACCCCUGUAGUCCUGGCCGUAAACGAUGAACACUAGGUGUCGGGGGAAUCGACCCCCUCGGUGUCGUAGCCAACGCGUUAAGUGUUCCGCCUGGGGAGUACGCACGCAAGUGUGAAACUCAAAGGAAUUGACGGGGGCCCGCACAAGCGGUGGAGUAUGUGGUUUAAUUCGAUGCAACGCGAAGAACCUUACCAGGGUUUGACAUCCUGCGAAUCCCUUGGAAACGAGGGAGUGCCUUCGGGAGCGCAGUGACAGGUGGUGCAUGGCUGUCGUCAGCUCGUGUCGUGAGAUGUUGGGUUAAGUCCCGCAACGAGCGCAACCCACGUCUUUAGUUGCCAGCAUUCAGUUGGGCACUCUAGAGAGACCGCCGGUGAUAAACCGGAGGAAGGUGUGGAUGACGUCAAGUCAUCAUGCCCCUUACAUCCUGGGCUACACACGUACUACAAUGCUACGGACAAAGGGCAGCAAGCUCGCGAGAGUUAGCAAAUCCCAUAAACCGUGGCUCAGUUCAGAUCGUAGGCUGCAACUCGCCUACGUGAAGGAGGAAUCGCUAGUAAUCGCAGGUCAGCAUACUGCGGUGAAUACGUUCCCGGGCCUUGUACACACCGCCCGUCACACCAUGGAAGUUGGCCAUGCCCGAAGUCGUUACUCCAACCCUUGUGGAGGAGGACGCCGAAGGUGGGGCUGAUGACUGGGGUGAAGUCGGAACAAGGUA
RNAcentral lists this ribosomal RNA (1443 nucleotides) under metagenome. RNAcentral describes it as "bacterial SSU rRNA". It matches the Rfam family "Bacterial small subunit ribosomal RNA". The record is from RNAcentral.